RNAcentral lists this small RNA (29 nucleotides) under Bombyx mori (domestic silkworm). Its description in RNAcentral is "ovarian small RNA-31636". Lineage: Eukaryota; Metazoa; Arthropoda; Insecta; Lepidoptera; Bombycidae. The record is from RNAcentral.
UGACCUAUUGGAUGAGAUUGUCAAUCUAA